UACUGAGACACGGACCAGACUCCUACGGGAGGCAGCAGUGAGGAAUAUUGGUCAAUGGGCGCAAGCCUGAACCAGCCAUGCCGCGUGCAGGAUGACGGUCCUAUGGAUUGUAAACUGCUUUUGUACGGGAAGAAACAACUCUACGUGUAGAGUCUUGACGGUACCGUAAGAAUAAGGAUCGGCUAACUCCGUGCCAGCCGCGGUAAUACGGAGGAUCCAAGCGUUAUCCGGAAUCAUUGGGUUUAAAGGGUCCGUAGGCGGUUUUAUAAGUCAGUGGUGAAAUCCGGCAGCUCAACUGUCGAACUGCCAUUGAUACUGUAAGACUUGAAUUAUUAUGAAGUAACUAGAAUAUGUAGUGUAGCGGUGAAAUGCUUAGAUAUUACAUGGAAUACCAAUUGCGAAGGCAGGUUACUAAUAAUAUAUUGACGCUGAUGGACGAAAGCGUGGGGAGCGAACAGGAUUAGAUACCCUGGUAGUCCACGCCGUAAACGAUGGAUACUAGCUGUUCGGCAGCAAUGCUGAGUGGCUAAGCGAAAGUGAUAAGUAUCCCACCUGGGGAGUACGAACGCAAGUUUGAAACUCAAAGGAAUUGACGG
This 596-nucleotide ribosomal RNA is filed under the name uncultured Bacteroidota bacterium. RNAcentral's name for it is "bacterial SSU rRNA". It matches the Rfam family "Bacterial small subunit ribosomal RNA", at positions 317 to 916 of the family's 1533-position model. The record is from RNAcentral. Lineage: Bacteria; Pseudomonadati; Bacteroidota.